CUUUGAGAAAUCGAAUUAACAAUGAUGCCUCUGAUGUCGUCCGGAUGGCUUUCGACAUUUCGAACAAGAAGAAGCCUGUUUGGAGGAUAAUCAAGUGUCCGAAGCAAGGUGGCAUUGUGGAGUGCGGGUAUUAUGUGAUGCGAUUCAUGCGUGAUAUAAUAUUGUCAAG
Cucumis melo (muskmelon) is the source of this 169-nucleotide long non-coding RNA. RefSeq lists it as uncharacterized. NCBI's taxonomy places the organism in Eukaryota, Viridiplantae, Streptophyta, Magnoliopsida, Cucurbitales, Cucurbitaceae. The record is from RefSeq and is a predicted model, not a curated record. The transcript has 3 exons.